AGUGAACGCUGGCGGUAGGCCUAACACAUGCAAGUCGAACGGCAGCACAGAGGAGCUUGCUCCUUGGGUGGCGAGUGGCGGACGGGUGAGGAAUACAUCGGAAUCUACUCUGUCGUGGGGGAUAAUGUAGGGAAACUUACGCUAAUACCGCAUACGACCUACGGGUGAAAGCAGGGGCCCUUCGGGCCUUGCGCGAUUGUAUGAGCCGAUGUCGGAUUAGCUAGUUGGCGGGGUAAAGGCCCGCCAAGGCGACGAUCCGUAGCUGGUCUGAGAGGAUGCUCAGCCACACUGGAACUGAGACACGGUCCAGACUCCUACGGGAGGCAGCAGUGGGGAAUAUUGGAUAAUGGGCGCAAGCCUGAUCCAGCCAUACCGCGUGGGUGAAGAAGGCCUUCGGGUUGUAAAGCCCUUUUGUUGGGAAAGAAAUCCAGCUGGCUAAUACCCGGUUGGGAUGACGGUACCCAAAGAAUAAGCACCGGCUAACUUCGUGCCAGCCGCCGCCGUAA
This 506-nucleotide ribosomal RNA is filed under the name uncultured bacterium. RNAcentral describes it as "partial 16S ribosomal RNA". It matches the Rfam family "Bacterial small subunit ribosomal RNA", at positions 29 to 523 of the family's 1533-position model. The record is from RNAcentral.